Molecule: ribosomal RNA, 429 nt
Filed under: Bacteroidota bacterium
Lineage: Bacteria; Pseudomonadati; Bacteroidota
Description: Bacteroidetes bacterium partial 16S ribosomal RNA
Rfam family: Bacterial small subunit ribosomal RNA
Source: RNAcentral
UAGGGAAUCUUCGGCAAUGGGGGGAACCCUGACCGAGCAACGCCGCGUGAGUGAAGAAGGUUUUCGGAUCGUAAAGCUCUGUUGUUAAGGAAGAACGAGUGUGAGAAUGGAAAGCUCAUGCUGUGACGGUACUUAACCAGAAAGGGACGGCUAACUACGUGCCAGCAGCCGCGGUAAUACGUAGGUCCCGAGCGUUGUCCGGAUUUAUUGGGCGUAAAGCGAGCGCAGGCGGUUAGAAAAGUCUGAAGUGAAAGGCAGUGGCUCAACCAUUGUAGGCUUUGGAAACUGUUUAACUUGGGUGAAGAAGGGGAGAGUGAAAUUCCAUGUGUGGCGGUGAAAUGCGUAGAUAUAUGGAGAAACACCGGUGACGAAAGCGGCUCUCUAGUCUGUAACUGACACUGAGACUCGAAAGCGUGGGAGGCGAACAGG